RNAcentral lists this ribosomal RNA (471 nucleotides) under uncultured Sporacetigenium sp. RNAcentral describes it as "partial 16S ribosomal RNA". Lineage: Bacteria; Bacillati; Bacillota; Clostridia; Peptostreptococcales; Tepidibacteraceae. The record is from RNAcentral.
CACGUAGUUAGCCGGGGCUUCCUCCUCAAGUACCGUCAUUAUCUUCUUUGAGGACAGAGCUUUACGACCCGAAGGCCUUCAUCGCUCACGCGGCGUUGCUGCAUCAGGCUUUCGCCCAUUGUGCAAUAUUCCCCACUGCUGCCUCCCGUAGGAGUUUGGACCGUGUCUCAGUUCCAAUGUGGCCGAUCACCCUCUCAGGUCGGCUACUGAUCGUCGCCUUGGUAAGCCGUUACCUUACCAACUAGCUAAUCAGACGCGGGUCCAUCCUGUACCGCAAAAGCUUUGAUACUUCUACCAUGCGAUAAAAGUAUUUUAUCUCGUAUUAGCAUACCUUUCGGUAUGUUAUCCGUGUGUACAGGGCAGGUUACCCACGCGUUACUCACCCGUCCGCCGCUCUUUACCGAAGUAAAUCGCUCGACUUGCAUGUGUUAGGCACGCCGCCAGCGUUCAUCCUGAGCCAGGAUCAAACUC